UGUGUCACCAAUCCGUUGUAAUGUUAAUGAGAAGUGAAUAAGCAGCAAAAGGGUCACAUUUUAUCUUAAAAACCAACAGAUCAAACACAAAUUUU
RNAcentral lists this small RNA (95 nucleotides) under Arabidopsis thaliana (thale cress). RNAcentral describes it as "ATSL252580". Lineage: Eukaryota; Viridiplantae; Streptophyta; Magnoliopsida; Brassicales; Brassicaceae. The record is from RNAcentral.